Daphnia pulicaria is the source of this 2648-nucleotide long non-coding RNA. RefSeq lists it as uncharacterized. The transcript has 2 exons. The record is from RefSeq and is a predicted model, not a curated record. NCBI's taxonomy places the organism in Eukaryota, Metazoa, Arthropoda, Branchiopoda, Diplostraca, Daphniidae.
GCAGUGCAGCGGUGCGGCUGCUUCUGGCAACGACGCUCCUGCAGCAUUACGCCAGACAACUAUCGCCACCACCAACUUUGAUUGUUUGUUUGUUUGUUUUUUCUGACAUUCCAUAUUUUAAUAUCCACGACCGUUCACCGCCGUCACACAGCAAUCCGGCCCCCACGCCGUUAAUUCUGUUGGCCGUUUUAUUAUUCGUUAUCGGUUCUUCUUUUUUUUCGGUUGAUAAAUGCGGAAUACGUUGGACGCUCUCAUCGUCGUAUCAGAGUCUUGCGAAUGAAUGGGACUUGCUACAGUAUAGCCCAUAAGGCACAUAGGAAACGGUUUGAUGCAUCGUCACCAGCUCAGUUGUAUCGAUUGCAGCGGAUUCGACUUGAUUUGACAUGCAAAAGAGGCCGCUGGGGAGCCAACGAUCCAGACGGGCGAAACAAAGGCAAUAAGAAGAAAAGGAAGGAAAGAAGGAAAAAAGAAGCCGCCCAAUCCCGCGCGUUUGCAUGUUGAUGGGGGCGGCGUGAAUGGGAGAAAACGACGACACCAACGUACGUCAACGUUCCAAGUGAGCCAUCGGCCUCCUCGGCUCCUGCUCGCCCCUUUGCUCGAAUUUUCCCACUCGUGAGAGACAAACUGUCUUUUCCCAACGCGUGACUUGAUCUCUUUUCCCCACUGACGAAAAAUUUCUGGGAAAAACAAACGAAACAAACGUUAUCAAUAAAUCAAAUCAAAUCAAUCAAAGAAAAGGCGCCCGGGCUGAUCCCGCGUUCGAAUUUAUUUCUCUCUCGUCGGCGCAAACAAAAAGCAAAAUUCGACCAAUUAUUAACCGGAGCAACGCGGCAGUGUGUGUAUACGAGUGCUUUGAGCCCAACAUUUGGAACAUAAUUUAGUCAAAUGGAGUUGCUGGAGCACGGCGAGAACAGGCGUGAAAGUUUCGUACUGCGUUCCUCUCUUUGAAUUAAAAAAAUUAAUACAAUUUCAGAAAGAAAAGUAAACGAAUUCGUCUGAUAUAAAAGCGGAAAAUAGUGGCAGUCGUAAUCAUCAUCAUCAUCGCACAACUUGGCAAGGCGAUAACAGCGAUCUAACGGUUACUGGAUAGGAGCACGCGCGACGUUUUGCAUGUAUAAUGUUCCAAGAGGCCAACUCCAAGUCUUGCUCGGUCGUCGUUUGUUGAAUUGCUUGCUCCUAGAUAUACUCGACACAGCGCAGUGCCUGCCGCCGAGAUAGAUCCAAAAAAGAAAAAAGAAAAAAGAAAAGAAAAAAAGAGAGCGAGUGAAAGAGAUAGAGAACACAGGGCCAAGAGAGUCGGAGUAGCAGUGGCUGAAAGGAAUAGAGCAACUAUAGCUGCUGGGCUGGCUGCUCCCUUUGCUCUGCAUCUCGCUGCAUCUGACUGCUCAUUUUCGUAGCUCACCCGACUCUUUCCGAUGUUGUUUCUCUCCUGAUCUUUUCGACUUAAUAGUGAAACGCGUGACCGUUCGAAAAGCGGCUAGAGAGCCCAGCAAUUGCCCUCCUUCUUUGCGGUUUACCCGAAACUCAUUGCUUGGAUUGUGUUGGUCAAAGGUGAAAUUGCCCCCUUACGCGCGCUGGCCCCGGCCGCCCACUUGUGAAGUUGCGCUCUUUUUAAUCUGUGUAAACAUUUUUCUUGACGCUCGGAUCCUCCUCGCUCCCGUCACAGACUGAGCGGCGUGACGGUGUUUGCCUUUUUCCUGGAACUGUGGAUUUUUUUUGGGGUGAAAAUUCAGUGGAUGUUAUUUUUCGAUUGGCCGUGUAAGCAAACAGCUAGCGAAGGGGUUGACCGUGGCCAGCGUUCGACGCUGAUCGAAAUUGCAAUUAGUGAUUAUGUAAUCGUGAAGUGCAAUAAGUGUAAGUUGCAAGUCACAGUCACCCCCCCCCCCCCCGCCGAAAGGAUUAAUUAUAGAACGAAGUUUCUGCAUAUUAAACUUAGAUAGUGCCGAGUGAAUAUUAGAAUUGCACAUUAGACAGCAGUCUCAGUGCUGGCAUUGAAUGGCCGGCCAGAAGAAGAGUUCCCAGCUCUUGUCUUCGAGUUGCGGCCCGCUGGGUUGGAUUCCAAACUCCAUCGGAGUCUCAUCAGCACCACCUCCGGCCAACUUCAAUUCAAGAGCUGGCCUGACAGCUGAGACACGACAACAUGUCUACCUAUCUCACUCGAGGUGAUCUUUUCGGACGAAAUGAAUUAUAGUCUAGCUGCUGCUGCCUAGACAGAAAACCGAGUGGCAUAUAUUUGAAUUUCUCCUUCCUUGUAGACCGUUGCAACCUCGUCUCUCGUCAAAGAAUUCGACCAAAAGAAGAAGAUUCCAGCAGCGCCCGUAAAAACCAACCAAAGGGUUCGAAAAUUUGAUUACAUAAUAGCUUCUAAACUUUAAUUUUCUUUGAUGUUUUCUAUGAUAAUUAUUCACAGACAACCAAACCCCUAAUAAAAUCGUUCGGAACGAGCGGUUGGCUCACUCAAGAGUCAAGAGUCAUCAUUAUUAAUUCAUUGGGAAUGGCGGGAUAUUCGAUAUAGGCGAGGAGCAUUACUCAGCAUGACCGGAGUCUUUUGUUCCGUUGUUCGCUGUUUUUUUCUUUUUUCUUUUCUUCCCUAUCAAUAUAUGUACUCCCACCAGCAGCCCAAAAACCAAUCAACAGUUUACGAUGUU